GUCCGUGAUUUGUCAAAAAAAAAAUUGAUAUUUUCUGUCCGUGACUUUCAUCAAACAACUUCCCAUCAUAAAAACAAAAAACAUUUCCUCUUCACACAAUCACCGCAGAAUCGCUAACUACGGCCGCCGUUACCAGAACUCAUAAUUCGUCUUGUUUCGGUACCUUCAUUUACCGCCAGAAAGACCAAAUCCGCCUCUAUGUUGAUACUCUUCUUCAGUGGAACCAGAUGCGUCAUACACGCAUAAGAACAUAAAAUUUAACUAGAUUUUAGUGAUUGUUUUUUUUUUUUUUAUGAAGUUUUGAAUUCUGAGAAUGUUGCAGAAAAUGAACCUGACUGCGGUUACAGAUGUGAAUAAAGUAAUGGGGAGGCAUAUUGAGGACUCACUAGCAAUACUACCUACUCUACAGACUACAUGACUCUUAUAUUUCACACUAUAAUGCUUUAUCAAACUUGUUUAUGUUGGGAUCGGUGCCGGGCUUCCUGGACUGGUUUUGGCUAUUGCUUGUCCUGCUGUAUGGAAAGUAACACUGUUUGGAGUCGAUGAACAGGCGUUGCAUUAUCUUGGAACAUGCAGUUUGUGUUACUGGUUUGUCAAAUGUUGAAGUAUGAGCGGAAGAGCAGAGGACAGAAUUUAGGGAAGAAAGUUUCUUUUAGAGAGAAAUUUGAUGUAGCAGUAGCCAGAGCAGUGGCAGAAAUGAGAAUUUUAGCGGGGUGUUGUCUUUAUUUGGUUCGCGAUGGUGGGUUGUUCAUAGCUGCAAAAGGCUAUAAUCCUCAAGUGUGAAUCUUUUUCAGAUUUCAAGCGUCAACCCACUCAGGAGGAAGUAAGAAAUGCAGAGAGGUCACUCCAAUUGAUGGGCGAAUCAGUAUUGCAACUGCGCUCAGGUACUAUUGCUGUAUUAUCAAUUCAGGCCACUCAAUUUUCAUUCAAUGAUUUAAUUAAUCUUUUGAUAUGUAUAUGUGACGACUUAUAUUUCUGCUUGAUAUUAUACAACGUUUAUUCAAGGCAUCAACUAAAACUUGUAAAUUUGCUCAUAAGAGCAGAGCAACUUGGCUUUUAUUUUGGAGUUUGUAGAACAUGCUGUGUUUAUAGUUUCGAGGGAGAAAUAACGUCUCCAAAGUUGAGGAACUAUAUGUCUGAAGUAAUCUGUCUGAAAACUGAAAAUUAAGACAAACACGAAGCUCCCUUUCUGUGGAUUCCUUAAGAGCGGUUUUCCUGUAGAAUCGAUCCUGAUUCAUGAGCUAAAAAUAUUCAGGACGAGUUCAAUCAGGUGAAAAGAACUGCACAGCAAGGAAGCAAGGAGAAUCUCUUUGGAAGCCUAAACUCUUUGGUAUCUUGCAAUAUUUAGAAUCAACUUUUCUCAUUAGGCAACACAGUUGCAAAUCAAUACUUCCUGCUUGCAAAUUAAUGAAUUUUUUCUUGCUGCUCCUUGCUCAUCAAGUCAUCUGUCAUUGAGUAAUCAAGGGAAUUUGGUUCAUGUACACAAAUGUGCAUAUGCAUAUGCCUCAAUAAAUCUUAUAUUAUGUGAAAUAAGUUACAAAUUGUCGAUAUCUAUUAUAUUUUAACUAUACCUAAUAAAUUAGAAGGAACGGUGUGAUUUAAGUAUCACUAACUUGUAAGAAGCAAUUUGGUUUUCUAUUUGCAUGCGGUUUUUAUUUUAGCAUUACGUGCAAGAAAACGUAAUAAUCAAAUGAAAUAAUUCAAAUAGGGUAGCUAUGAGGAUAAUCCCUAAUAGUAAUUCAAUUAUGGACUGAUGCGGCAGUUCUUCUCUCAUUUGCAUAAUGGUAGAGGGACCUCAUGUUUCACUAUGGCAUCUUCCAUGCCAGUUGUCAGGGCAUCAUUGCUGAUGACAGCCAUUGAUUUGAGCAUUCAACUGUUCAAGUUUUUUGUAAGUUUAUAUACUCAGGUAAAUGCCAUUAUUUGUGGGCAAUAGUUGACUGCUUGCUUGUAUUUAUUUCAUAGUUAGGUUAGAAGUCUCUUCUCUUUUUGUUUGAUAAUCUUUCUCUUCCAUGUGGUGAUGGCAUUAUGGGAACACGUUACCUAAGUUUAGGGAGGUAGAAAGUUUGAGGAGAUUAAAGAGAAGGACAGUGUUAUUUAUAUUUUUAAGGGAUUUAUUAGAUGAGUCUCACAUCUUCAGAUCCCUCUAAUAUCCUCUGCCUAAAAUAAAGGAGUGGCUUUUGAAACCAGGGUACCGGCGGGAAGAGUAGGCUGGAAUAAUGGCCGUCUAGGGAAAAACGACUUCUACCUAACUUACUCUUCCACUUGUAACUUCUUUACGUAGGUCAAACCACUGAUGAUUCUUAUAAAGGAUAAUUAAUCUCAAGAUAUCUAGAAUAGAUAUACCUUAAACACUGCAUAUGCCUUGGCAGAUUAAUUAUAUGUAAAGAAAGCAACUUUCCCAUUUAAUAUUUAAUCAUUUUGCCUUUCUUUAUUCUAUUUGGGUUCUCUAUUGUUUUCAUCUUCAAUAUAUAAUGUCUAAAAUGUUUCGUUGUCAAAAUAUUUCGUUGUCUGUCAUAUUUAUGAAUCUUUUAAUUCCCACUAUCACCUUACAAGAAAGGAACUUGCUUCUUAUGACAAAAAUUGAGAGUGAUGGAACUUUUCUGUAUUCAUUUGCUUUGCUUAUUUUUUCUGCCAUUGGUUCUUUCUUCUAUCGCAUGCAACUGCCUUGGAAAAAACAUCUUCACUUGAAUUAUAUACAACCCUUUUCCUCUACAUUAUUUUUCAAUUUUAGCAGGAAAUUAAGGAGAGGACUACCAUAUUGGAGUUAUUGGGAUGAAUAUAGACUUCUUGAUAUUGCGGUUCUUUACUGUUGCAGAACCCCCAUGCUUCAACCUCAUCAAAGAAGAAAUAAGGGCAGCAACCUGGAAGAUUUCUUGUAUCUGUAAUUCACUUAUGCUUCCUGGUUGUUAUGAAUAUGAAAGCUUACUUUAGCCUCUCCACUCAUGGGGAAACCUUUUUAUUGAAUAGGAUAAAGUAGCUCAAUGUUUAUUUUUUAUUCUGUAUUUUAAAAUCAAAAGUUGGAUUCAUUUUAUAGGUAGGAUCACAAUUCCAACCUCAGCUAAAUGUAGAAUGCGUUGGCAGUUUUUGGAAAUGAAUAUAAAAAUUAGUGUAAA
Molecule: RNA transcript, 3113 nt
Organism: Populus trichocarpa (black cottonwood)
Lineage: Eukaryota; Viridiplantae; Streptophyta; Magnoliopsida; Malpighiales; Salicaceae
Exons: 5
Source: RefSeq, a predicted model, not a curated record